This 506-nucleotide ribosomal RNA is filed under the name Cryptoses choloepi. RNAcentral describes it as "partial 16S ribosomal RNA". The record is from RNAcentral. Lineage: Eukaryota; Metazoa; Arthropoda; Insecta; Lepidoptera; Pyralidae.
UAAUCUGCCCACUGAUAUAAUAUUAAAGGGGUGCAGUAUUUUGAGUGUACAAAGGUAGCAUAAUCAUUAGUCUUUUAAUUGAAGACUUGUAUGAAUGAUUGGAUGAAAUAUAAANUGUCUCUAAUAUUAUUAGUUAGAAUUUAAUUUUUUUAUUAAAAAGUAAAAAUAAAUUUAAAAGACGAGAAGACCCUAUAGAGUUUUAUAAUUAAUUUAAUUGAAAUUAUUUAUAAAGAUAAUUUUAAAUUAAUAAAUUAAAAUUAAGUUAAUUAUUUUGUUGGGGUGAUAAAAAAAUAAAAAUAACUUUUUUUAAUAAAUAUAUAUAUAUAUAUAUAUAUAUAUAUUGUAAACAAAAAUAAAUGAUUUUUUGAUCCAGAAUUUUUGAUUAUAAGAAAAAAUUACCUUAGGGAUAACAGCGUAAUUUUUUUUUUUAGUUCAAAUAAGAAAAAGAGUUUGCGACCUCGAUGUUGGAUUAAGGAAAAAUUUAAAUGCAAAAGUUUAAAAUUUUG